AUAAAUACGGGAAAUCAACAAGCAAGCCAAGUUACAAGUGAGACGGCCCAAGCCACGCUCAGUCAUUCCACUCUCUGCCUCGUCCUAAACAACGUUUCGCGUCACGCUCGAGAAAACUUGUUGCUAGUGGAAGGAAAGAAAUGCUUCGAACCGGUUUACUCAUCUGGCUUCUACUGGUCUGUAUCCUACCUGGCUGCAGCUCUCGCAGCUGCAACGGGUGCAGACGGCGUCGAGCAAGGGAUACCCAGCGUGCAGACAGGCACUCAAAAACUGGAUUUGCGUCGGACAGUACGACUGCCGUUCAAUCGAGGAGUGAUAAUGAUGAUGGUGAUGAUGCUCCUGUAAUGAGCAUGGGAGCGCGUGGAGCAACAUCGGGUCCCUACUGUACUACAGCUCUGUGGAGGAUGACGAUCAGCGUUCCGGGCUGCUUCAGUGUAAGACCGAAGACUCCGACCUGUCUCGGUCUGUGCACGUCGUACGAGGCGAACAGUCAAAACGGCCACCUGGCAAAGUCGUGCAAAUGCUGCAAGGAGGUACAAGAGUCGGUGCGAUACAGGGAGCUCAGACUGCGCUGUCCCGUUCCUGGAACGGACCGAAUGCGACGCAUGAGAGUGCUAAUACCGGUAGUGACGCGCUGCCAAUGUCGACCAUGUUUGAGCAUCAGCUAGCGUUUACAGCAAGACACAGAGACAGGAUAUUAUAUACCGAUCUAUGACAGUUAGUUGAGUUUUCUACGCUAAGAAACUUAUCAUUUUUGGAGUUGAGACAGAGAGGUUAAUUAUUGAGAGCUUGCCUCCCUCACUAGCUACUCAGAGGUCAUUCAACAUGAAUGAUCCGCAGACAUAGUACGAGCAUGUACAAACGUUUACUGUACUAUUAGUGUAAAAAAUCAUUGGGACGUUGUCGUAUUCUUUGCUUAUUUUGCCAAUAAAUGGUCAGGAACUGAGGUGAACAAA
This is a long non-coding RNA of Corticium candelabrum, 956 nucleotides long. RefSeq lists it as uncharacterized. The transcript is spliced from 2 exons. The record is from RefSeq and is a predicted model, not a curated record. NCBI's taxonomy places the organism in Eukaryota, Metazoa, Porifera, Homoscleromorpha, Homosclerophorida, Plakinidae.